This 127-nucleotide ribosomal RNA is filed under the name Caryophanales bacterium. RNAcentral describes it as "Bacillales bacterium (anaerobic digester metagenome) partial 23S ribosomal RNA". It matches the Rfam family "Bacterial large subunit ribosomal RNA", at positions 2799 to 2925 of the family's 2925-position model. Lineage: Bacteria; Bacillati; Bacillota; Bacilli; Caryophanales. The record is from RNAcentral.
UCAAGAUGAGAUUUCCCAUUCGUAAGAAGUAAGAUCCCUCAGAGACGAUGAGGUAGAUAGGUCUGAGGUGGAAGCGUAGCGAUACGUGGAGCUGACAGAUACUAAUCGAUCGAGGACUUAACCAAAA